Molecule: long non-coding RNA, 2421 nt
Organism: Papaver somniferum (opium poppy)
Lineage: Eukaryota; Viridiplantae; Streptophyta; Magnoliopsida; Ranunculales; Papaveraceae
Exons: 3
Source: RefSeq, a predicted model, not a curated record
UUUAGAGGAGAAAAUAAAAGGUUACGAGGAGAAACCGCAGAAGAGGGCGAUGAUCAUAUGUUCUGAUUAAACCCAGAUAUUCAAUCUUCUCCGAGUCCAACUUCAAUUCAAUCUCUCUUCGAUUCAAUCUCUGUUCGUCAAAUAUACUUAUGAUUCAUUUUCCAAGGGUCUCCCAUUGAAAUUAGGGUUUCCCCAUAUAGUAAUUUAAACAACAUAGAUUGAAUUGAGUAAAAUUGGAUUGCAGAAUUGAAAUGCUUCAACUACACAAAAUUUCUAAGGGUCGGAUUGAUGUUUGAAUCAACAGUAUCAAAUUGGGGACUUCGAUUUUCCUUUUCCAGAUUCAGGUACUACAAAAAAAAAACCACCGGGAGACAAGACAAGUAGUAAGUCAUCAUAACAUCGGUACCAACUUGAAACGAUUUCCUAAGAUGAGACGCCCUUCAAAUUUAAGAACAUCAGAACUCAAAGAUAAGGAUUGGAGUAGUAUAGUACUUGAUUGUUUAUAUCUUUGUUAUUGAUUUUUGAGGCGAGACUACUUUGUUGUUGUUUGAUACCUUCGUCGUCGAUCACUUUAGGCCACAUAACAGGGCCAGGAGUUUACAGGCAGUUUAUGUGAAACUGCCUUAUAGAAAUGGGGUAUGCACUAAUGAAAAUUUAGCAUGAGUGUGUUCGGUUGUGCCACCAGUUAAGUUCAAGGUUGAUUGUUUGUAAACAUUCUUUAGUAUAUACUUUGGAAUUGUCUAAUAUGAGCGUAGAAGGGAAAAUUACUUGCAAACACAUAAUAUAGCCCAUACCGUACUUAAUUGUAAAUCUAGACACUUAGAAAACAGAAAAAAUGUACCGUAGUACUUACAUGAACAAUCUAAUGUUAUUAUUCUCAUCAUUUAAGAAGUAUCAUUUUAUGAUUAUAUCUUUUCUCUAAUCUAUUUGUUACCUUGAAUUUCGCUUUGAUUCCCAAAAGCCAAAUCUUCUAGCAAGCUCGACUUCUAUUCAUUACAGAAGCCUGAAGUUCCCAGAGUCAUUAAACAAGCUCGACAUCUAGACAUGAGAAACGAAAGGAAAAGCGAACCCACAAAGCGUCGGAAAGCAAACGAAAGUUUAAGGACCCGGAAUAAAAGAGAACCAGACUAUAGUGAGGUUGCAUUUUUUAUUACGAAUUUUUUGUGCAUUGCAUGUGCCUACAGAACAGCACGGCAGGUGCGUCGCACAUGCGUAUUUUCUGUAAUUUAUGAAUUGAGACUUUAGAUGAAUGCAUAGGAUAGUUUACAUGUGAACGGCUUGGCGGUGAUACAGUUUGGGUUUGAUGUUGCAGGUGUUGGUUAUGAUGCGUACCUGCAAUCAAUUUAUUCAUUUUUUUUACAUUGAUUAUGUUAUAAAAUUAUUGACUCUCUUAAUGGUUUCAGCUCAUGUGAAUUCUCUGUUAACUCUCAAUUCGACUCUCUGAUACUAAAACUCUUAUUAAACUCUCAAUUUGACGUUGUCACAUUAGUUGUUUGUGUAUAUGCUUAAGAAAAUAUUCCCUCUUUAGUUUUGGUCUGUGAAUUCAUUUUUUAUUCGACCCUCCGAUUUAUUUUAGUUCACUCUUUGUUUUGACAGAUGGAUUCACUGCAACAUAAAGCUUUGGGUUCUCAUCCAUGUCGAAGUCUAAGAAAUUUCGAGCUAGCUCGACUUCGAGUGCUAGAGAAAGAAAAAGAAACGCAAUCUCAACAAAGAGAUGCUCACUUGCAGUAGAGCGGACUUCUUCACAGAUUAAAACAAUAUUCAAUAAUUGAAUUCGAAAGAGAAGCGCUUUUAGAAAACCAUUGUAGUGCUUAUUUCAGUCGAAAAAACAGAAUUAGAUGCGGAUACAUAGCAGAAAAAAGGUCACAACUCCCUACUACCACUCAAUGUUGAUGGCAAGACCCUGAAGUUAAGCAGUGAAAGAAAUGGCAGGCGCAUCGCGCGUAAAAACCCUGGGAAACAUGUAUACGUCCGUGUGGUUCAGGUGUACGUGCACUCGUGGUCAAAACUCUUACCUGACCAAGGGGAAUGGAGAAGCCGAGAUUGAACAAAGGAUGAACUACUUAAUUCCAAGGGAAUAAUUGCUGAGAAGCAAAUACUUGGAGGAAGGACGAUAAACAGGGAAUUUUUCUCAAAAAGAGGAUGAUCAGAAUUAUCUUCAAGAAGGUAGAACUGGAGCGAGGCUCAACAUAUUUUUAAGAUCAUCAACAACAAAACAACAAAAAGAAGAAAUAAAGGAAAAACAUACAACCUUGACAGCACUCUCAAGUCACACUUCUUGAGACUAUGAGCAUCCAUCUUAGACUACAAGAAGAAUGCUCUAUUGAGCAGUCAUGUUGUAUUCAGAUGAGCAAUUUGCUCAUCAAUAUUGACUUCUUUUUCUCUCUUUCAAGAGGAUUUAUAAAAAAAUAACUUGACUUA